Molecule: ribosomal RNA, 450 nt
Filed under: uncultured bacterium
Lineage: Bacteria
Description: partial 16S ribosomal RNA
Rfam family: Bacterial small subunit ribosomal RNA
Source: RNAcentral
GUGGGGAAUAUUGGACAAUGGGCGAAAGCCUGAUCCAGCCAUGCCGCGUGUGUGAAGAAGGUCUUCGGAUUGUAAAGCACUUUAAGUUGGGAGGAAGGGCAGUAAGUUAAUACCUUGCUGUUUUGAUGUUACCGACAGAAUAAGCACCGGCUAACUUCGUGCCAGCAGCCGCGGUAAUACGAAGGGUGCAAGCGUUAAUCGGAAUUACUGGGCGUAAAGCGCGCGUAGGUGGUUCAGCAAGUUGAAGGUGAAAUCCCCGGGCUCAACCUGGGAACUGCCUCCAAAACUACUGAGCUAGAGUACGGUAGAGGGUAGUGGAAUUUCCUGUGUAGCGGUGAAAUGCGUAGAUAUAGGAAGGAACACCAGUGGCGAAGGCGACUACCUGGACUGAUACUGACACUGAGGUGCGAAAGCGUGGGGAGCAAACAGGAUUAGAAACCCUUGUAGUCC